AUUGAACGCUGGCGGCAGGCCUAACACAUGCAAGUCGAGCGGAAACGAAGGGAGCUUGCUCCCAGGCGUCGAGCGGCGGACGGGUGAGUAACACGUGAGAAUCUGCCCAUUAGUGGGGGACAACUCGGGGAAACUCGAGCUAAUACCGCAUAAUCCCUACGGGGGAAAGCAGGGGACCUUUUGGCCUUGCGCGUAUGGAUGAGCUCACGUCGGAUUAGCUUGUUGGUGAGGUAAAGGCUCACCAAGGCGACGACCCGGAGCUGGUCUGAGAGGAUGAUCAGCCACACUGGGACUGAGACACGGCCCAGACUCCUACGGGAGGCAGCAGUGGGGAAUCUUGGACAAUGGGGGCAACCCUGAUCCAGCCAUGCCGCGUGUGUGAAGAAGGCCUUCGGGUUGUAAAGCACUUUCAGCAGGGAGGAAGGCUUUGGCCGAAUAGGUUGAAGUACUUGACGUUACCUGCAGAAGAAGCACCGGCUAAUUUCGUGCCAGCCGCCGCGGUAA
Molecule: ribosomal RNA, 504 nt
Filed under: uncultured bacterium
Lineage: Bacteria
Description: partial 16S ribosomal RNA
Rfam family: Bacterial small subunit ribosomal RNA
Source: RNAcentral